RNAcentral lists this transfer RNA (82 nucleotides) under Jaapia argillacea MUCL 33604. RNAcentral describes it as "tRNA-Ser (AGA) (tRNA-Ser-AGA-3-1)". It matches the Rfam family "tRNA". Rfam says of the family: Transfer RNA (tRNA) molecules are approximately 80 nucleotides in length. Their secondary structure includes four short double-helical elements and three loops (D, anti-codon, and T loops). The record is from RNAcentral. Lineage: Eukaryota; Fungi; Basidiomycota; Agaricomycetes; Jaapiales; Jaapiaceae.
GGCGCUUUAGCCAAGUGGUUACGGCGACAGAUUAGAAAUCUGUUUCCCUUUGGGAGCAUAGGUUCGAGUCCUGUAGGCGUCG